RNAcentral lists this transfer RNA (69 nucleotides) under Halosaurus sp. RNAcentral's name for it is "tRNA-Pro". It matches the Rfam family "tRNA". From Rfam's summary of the family: Transfer RNA (tRNA) molecules are approximately 80 nucleotides in length. The record is from RNAcentral. Lineage: Eukaryota; Metazoa; Chordata; Actinopteri; Notacanthiformes; Halosauridae.
CAUAGGGUGGUUUAAUUAAAAUCUUAGCUUUGGGAGCUAAGGAUGGGAGUUAAACUCUCCUCUCUGUGA